AUACGGAGGGUGCAAGCGUUAAUCGGAAUUACUGGGCGUAAAGCGCUCGUAGGCGGUUGAUUAAGUCGGAUGUGAAAGCCCAGGGCUCAACCUGGGAAUUGCAUUCGAUACUGCUUGGCUAGAGUAUGGUAGAGGGAAGUGGAAUUUCCGGUGUAGCGGUGAAAUGCGUAGAUAUCGGAAGGAACACCAGUGGCGAAGGCGACUUCCUGGGCCAAUACUGACGCUGAGGUGCGAAAGCGUGGGGAGCAAACAGGAUUAGAUACCCCAGUAGUCC
Molecule: ribosomal RNA, 274 nt
Filed under: uncultured bacterium
Lineage: Bacteria
Description: partial 16S ribosomal RNA
Rfam family: Bacterial small subunit ribosomal RNA
Source: RNAcentral